RNAcentral lists this unclassified non-coding RNA (250 nucleotides) under plant metagenome. Its description in RNAcentral is "partial contains small subunit ribosomal RNA, internal transcribed spacer 1, and 5.8S ribosomal RNA". The record is from RNAcentral.
GUAGGUGAACCUGCGGAAGGAUCAUUAUUGAAUACUCUUGAUGGGUUGUAGCUGGCUCUUCGGGGCAUGUGCACACUUGUCUUGACUUUAUUCAUCCACCUGUGCACAUUUUGUAGUCUUGUGGGUUGAGAGCAGUCGACUAUCGGAUGGCUAUGGCCUUUCCGGACGUGAGGAAUGCUGAGUGCGAAAGCAUUCAGCUCUUCUCAAAUGACUUGCAAAACCUCUCCCUCAAGUACUAUGUAUUCAUAUA